CAAUAGCGUAUAUUAAAGUUGUUGCAGUUAAAAAGCUCGUAGUUGGAUUUCUGGUCGGAAGCUCCUGUCCUCUGAUGAGCGUACAAGUGCGUCCUACCAUCCUUCUGUUAACCUUUAAGGCUUUCGCGGCUUUCUAGGGGCUCAGAUAUUUUACCUUGAGAAAAUUAGAGUGUUUCAGGCAGGCUAGCGCCGGAAUACAUUAGCAUGGAAUAAUGGAAUAGGACUUUUGCCUCUUCUGCUGGUCAUGAGGCUCGAGUAAUGAUUAAUAGGGAUAGUUGGGGGCAUUAGUACUUAACUGUCAGAGGUGAAAUUCUCGGAUUUGUUAAAGACUAACUUAUGCGAAAGCAUUUGCCAAGGAUGUUUUCAUUAA
RNAcentral lists this ribosomal RNA (370 nucleotides) under uncultured eukaryote. RNAcentral's name for it is "partial 18S ribosomal RNA". It matches the Rfam family "Eukaryotic small subunit ribosomal RNA", at positions 592 to 976 of the family's 1831-position model. The record is from RNAcentral.